This is a long non-coding RNA of Equus caballus (horse), 1959 nucleotides long. NCBI's taxonomy places the organism in Eukaryota, Metazoa, Chordata, Mammalia, Perissodactyla, Equidae. The record is from Ensembl.
ACUUCACAGAAUUUGCUAAGGAUGAGGAGGUUGCAGAAAUCAACAAGGCUGUGUUGAGAUGGCAAACGACUUUAACUCAGGUGUGGAUGAGGAUGACAUGGAGGAGCUCCUAGAGGUGGUUCCUGAGGAACUGACUACUGAGGACUUGUUGGAACUGGAACAGGCGGACAUAGCUGAAGAAGAGGCAAGAGAAAAGGAAACUGCAGGAGAAGGAAAAGAGGGACACUCAAGAAAAAUUUUCGGUGGAGGAUUUAGCAGAAGCAUUUGCAGACUUCAACAAGCUCUUUGAAAAGUGUGAAAACAUGGAACAUAACACUGAAAAGCUUUCAUUAAUAGAGAGGAAUGUUCAUGGUGUACUAUCUGUUCACAAGAAAAUCUGUGAUUGAAAAAAAGAAACAAAUCAAGCAACCACCAUGGACAUAUUUCUGCAGAGUGACACCUCCUCAAAAAGAGCCUCAGGCAGGUCCUUCAUCAGGUGUUCCGGAAGAAGGCACUGUUAUCAUAGGAGAUGACAGCUCCAUGAGUGUUUUUGCCCUUGAAGACCAUCCAGUGGGACAAGACCUGCAUGUGAAGACGGUGGUAUUGUUAUAAUGACGCUGUGUAGGCCUAGGCUAAUUGUACGGCGUUUCAAGGUCCACAGGAGUGUGCAGUAACGUCCUAGGCUUCAUGUUCACUCGCCACUCACGCGCUCGCUCACCCAGAGCCACGUUCAGUCCAGCAAGCUCCCUUCAUGACACUUUCAAGAAAUAGAAGAUUUUUAUGUUUUGCGGGCAAAGAUAGUCUUGGAUUAAAAGGCUCCAAAAUAGACUCAAAACGCAAAAGAAACUGUUUAUUUCCUCAACAAAUCAUCACUCUGCAAGUCUAAAAAAACAAAAGGAAAAGUCUUCCCACCAACAAAACAUAAUCUAAGUUUCUAUAACAAGUUUUACAGACUCUAAUAUUCAAAGAACAGGAAGCAAAAGACAUAAGUUGUUGUAUUCAUGACCAUCUUUAUUCUGUCCUGUGAUCAUUUUUUAAAGUCCUAGUUAUAGACUCCAAACAAUUCCUUUUCCCUCCCAUUUUAAUGUCUCUCUUUAAAUAAUUGCCAACUCUAAUCCAUAUUAGAUAUCCAAAAACUCUUUAAUCAAAAAGCUUUCUAGAAAUGUCUGGAAUAGGCAAAUCAUAGAGUCAGCAAAUAGAUUAGUGGUUGCCAGUGACUGCGGGCAGAGAGGAAUCAAGUGAUUGCUAAUGGAGAAGAAGCUUCUUUUCGGGGUGAUGAAAAUGUUCUAGAAUUAGACAGGGGUGAUGGUUACAUAACUUUGUGAAUAUGCUAAAACCACUGAAUUGUACACUUCGAAAGGCUGAAUUUAUUGUAGGUGAAUUACACCUCCAUAAAACCUAAAGUUUAAAAACAAAAAGCUUUCUAGAAGUAAGCGACAUUUUUCCCUGGGAAAAUACUUUCGAGCACUUGUGUUCUCUCUUUCUUCUGUUCUUUCUGCUGGAGAAAGGAGAGAGCAGCAAAAGGGUCUCACCUGACUUCUCCGACGGUCUUGGUCAAUUCUGGCCCUUUGCUAUGUUAUGUUACAGGAGAGCAAAGCAUCCUUUGACCCUGAGUCUGAAGUUUAACCCCUGUGAUCCCGCCCAGUUAGAUACCUCUAAGGUACACUGCACAUUUUAGCAGUCUGACGACCAGGAAGCUUGACCACGUUAUUCCCUUGAUCAGGACUGUCCAUUUCACGCUGUCAUAAAUGGCAGGGCUGCAAAGAGGACAGCAGUGACAAUCGCUGGGACCUAAUCCGUUCUAUGAGCUGCUGCGCACCAGAGCCACAAGUUAAUAGUCAGCAGACGAGUCCUGGGGGCUUGGCUUUUUAUUCGCAAGGAAAAAAACCAUCCCUAUUGGCAGCUGAAGAGACAACCCCUCUGGGGACCAAUUAUUCUAUUUUGUGCUGUACAUCCUGCAGCAGUCUGCUGCCAGCCCCC